GAUGAACGCUGGCGGCGUGCCUAAUACAUGCAAGUCGAGCGAACAGACGAGGAGCUUGCUCCCCUGACGUUAGCGGCGGACGGGUGAGUAACACGUGGAUAACCUACCUAUAAGACUGGGAUAACUUCGGGAAACCGGAGCUAAUACCGGAUAAUAUAUUGAACGGCAUGGUUCAAUAGUGAAAGACGGCUUUCCCGUCACUUAUAGCUGAAUCCGCGCCGCAUUAGCUAGUUGGUAAGGUAACGGCUUACCAAGGCAACGAUGCGUAGCCGACCUGAGAGGAUGAUCAGCCACACUGGAACUGAGACACGGUCCAGACUCCUACGGGAGGCAGCAGUAGGGAAUCUUCCGCAAUGGGCGAAAGCCUGACGGAGCAACGCCGCGUGAGUGAUGAAGGUCUUCGGAUCGUAAAGCUCUGUUAUUAGGGAAGAACAAAUGUAUAAGUAACUAUGCACGUCUUGACGGUACCUAAUCAGAAAGCCACGGCUAACUACGUG
Molecule: ribosomal RNA, 497 nt
Filed under: uncultured bacterium
Lineage: Bacteria
Description: partial 16S ribosomal RNA
Rfam family: Bacterial small subunit ribosomal RNA
Source: RNAcentral